Molecule: small nuclear RNA, 107 nt
Organism: Otolemur garnettii (small-eared galago)
Lineage: Eukaryota; Metazoa; Chordata; Mammalia; Primates; Galagidae
Source: Ensembl
GUGUUUGCUUUGCCAGCACAUAUAUUAAAAUUGAAACAAUACAGAGAAGAUUAGCAUGGCCCCUGCGUAAGGAUGACCGGCAAGUUCGUGAAGCAUUCCAUAUUUUU